UUUACAUGAAGUGGUUACACAGGCGUUGGUGGCACUUGAAGAUCUGGAGAUUGUUGAUUGUGGUCAACUGGUAUACUUGUGGCAAGAUUCCACUAAUUUAGACAAACUUGCUUGUCUGAGUCAUUUAAAGAUCAAAAGAUGCAAGAAGCUUGUGUUUUUGGUAGGGGGAGAGGAAGGGCUUUUACCUUGUAAGCUUGAAGUUUUGAACAUAGACCAUUGUUAUGAAUUGGAAAGUCUGCCAAAUGGGAUGCACAGCCUCACAUCUCUCAGAGUUUUACGCAUCUGUUCUUGCUUAAAGCUUGUGUCCUUUCCAGCUGCAGGUUUACCUUCCAGUCUUAAAAUUCUCCUGAUCAUAUUUUGUAAUUCUCUGGAGUCCAUGCCAGAGGGCAUUAUGCAUGAUAGUGAUACUAGCAAUGAGAUGUCUCAUCUUGAGGAUUUGUGUGUCAUAGGAUGUCCAUCUCUUUUAUCCCUUCCAAUUGGUGAAAUUCCUCAGUCGGUUAAGUUUCUUGGGUUUUGCUAUUGGACGACACAAUUAUUGGAGUCGCUUAGUGGUAGAUUCUCGCGUCUCAUUGAAUUAAAAAUAUGUGAAUCUCCAAAGUUAGAGUCUUUCACAUAAAGUGGAUUGGUCAUCCCCAAUCUUUGCUCUUUAACCAUAGAGGAUUGUAAGAAUUUGAAGUCAUUACCUAAUCAGAUGCAAAAUCUCAAAUCUCUUGUAUCUCUAGCCAUAAGAAAUUGUGGAGGUUUGGUGUCCUUUCCUGGAGGGGGUUUACCUCCAAACCUAACUUAUCUUGAAAUUUGGGAUUGCAAGAAUCUGACACAGCCAAUGUCGGAAUGGGGACUCCAUAGACUCACCUCUCUUAGAGAAUUUACAAUCAGUGGUAGAAGUCCUAGUACAGAUUUGGUUUCCUUUCCAGAUGAGGAAGGCCAUCUGCUUCCCUCUUCGCUAACCUGUCUUCACAUCGAAGGAUUUGAGAAUCUGAAAUCCAUA
Molecule: unclassified non-coding RNA, 988 nt
Filed under: Hevea brasiliensis (rubber tree)
Lineage: Eukaryota; Viridiplantae; Streptophyta; Magnoliopsida; Malpighiales; Euphorbiaceae
Source: RNAcentral